This 1435-nucleotide ribosomal RNA is filed under the name uncultured organism. RNAcentral's name for it is "bacterial SSU rRNA". It matches the Rfam family "Bacterial small subunit ribosomal RNA". The record is from RNAcentral.
ACACAUGCAAGUUGAACGGUCCGUCCAGACGGAAUCUUUCGGGAUGAAGUAGGGACAGCGGGCAGUAGCGGACGGGUGAGUAACGCGUGAGCAACCUAUCUUUCAGCCAGGGAUAACCAGGCGAAAGCCUGGCUAAUCCCUGAUAAAAUUAAGGCAAGGCAUCCUGGAUUAAUCAAAGGUGGUGAGAGCCAUCACUGGGAGUUGGGUUCGCGUCGGAUUAGCUAGCUGGUGAGGUAACGGCUUACCAGGGCUACGAUCCGUAGCUGGUCUGAGAGGACGAUCAGCCACACUGGGACUGAGACACGGCCCAGACUUCUACGGAAGGCAGCAGUGGGGAAUCUUCCGCAAUGGGCGCAAGCCUGACGGAGCAACGUCGCGUGAGUGAAGAAGGCUUUCGGGUUGUAAAGCUCUGUCCUUAGGGAAGAACAGUCUAUAGAGGAAAUGUUAUAGAUAUGACGGUACUUAAGGAGGAAGCUCUGGCUAACUACGUGCCAGCAGCCGCGGUAAUACGUAGAGAGCGAGCGUUGUCCGGAAUUACUGGGCGUAAAGGGUAUGCAGGCGGAUAUACAAGUCGGAUGUGAAAGGUGCCGGCUCAACUGGCGGAGUGCAUUUGAAACUGUAUAUCUUGAGUGCAGGAGAGGAAAACGGAAUUCCUGGUGUAGCGGUGGAAUGCGUAGAUAUCAGGAAGAACACCAGUGGCGAAGGCGGUUUUCUGGCCUGCAACUGACGCUGAGGUACGAAAGCCGGGGGAGCGAACGGGAUUAGAUACCCCGGUAGUCCCGGCUGUAAACGAUGGAGACUAGGUGUUGGGGGUUCGAAUCCUUCAGUGCCGGAGUUAACGCGAUAAGUGUCCCGCCUGGGGAUUACGACCGCAAGGUUGAAACUCAAAGGAAUUGACGGGGGCCCGCACAAGCGGUGGAGCAUGUGGUUUAAUUCGAUGCAACGCGAAGAACCUUACCGAGGUUUGACAUCCUGUGCCUAUUUGUGAGAGCAGAGUAUAGGUCUUAGUACCUACACAGAGACAGGUGGUGCAUGGCUGUCGUCAGCUCGUGUCGUGAGAUGUUGGGUUAAGUCCCGUAACGAGCGCAACCCUUAUUCCUAGUUGCCAGCAUUUAAGGUGGGGACUCUAGGGAGACAGCCGGUGAAAGCCGGAGGAAGGUGGGGAUGACGUCAAGUCCUCAUGCCCUUUAUGCCUCGGGCUACACACGUGCUACAAUGGUUGGUACAGAGGGGAGCGAAGCUGUGAAGUGGAGCCAAUCUCAGAAAACCGAUCUUAGUUCGGAUUGCAGGCUGCAACUCGCCUGCAUGAAGCUGGAAUCGCUAGUAAUCGCAGGUCAGCAUACUGCGGUGAUACGUUCCCGGGCAUUGUACACACCGCCCGUCACACCAACCGAGUUAGAUGCACCAGAAGUCACCUGCGGGUGCCGAAGGUGUG